This is a long non-coding RNA of Bubalus bubalis (water buffalo), 485 nucleotides long. RefSeq lists it as uncharacterized. The record is from RefSeq and is a predicted model, not a curated record. The transcript has 2 exons. Lineage: Eukaryota; Metazoa; Chordata; Mammalia; Artiodactyla; Bovidae.
AGCGGGGAGCUAUUGCUCAACAGGUACAGAGUUUCAAUUUGGAAGACGGAAAGUGUCUGGAGAUGGACGGCAGCGGUGGUGGGGGUUUCAUAACAAUGUCAAUACACUUAAUGCCGUUGAACUGUACACUUAAAAACAGUUAAAAGGGUAAACUCUGUCAUGUGUAUUUUACAGUCUUACAACGAUUAGCUCAUGUAAGACAUGUGAAAAAGAGUAUCUGCAUUAAAGUGUGUGAAAUUAACUGAAAAUGACGUGAUGGUGUGUGCCAAUCCUCCACAUGUGCUUCCCAGGCCAGCUGAACCAUCUACAAAGAUGACAGCAGGAAUGCAGAUUAAAAAAUGUUGCUCAAAAUUUGGCAUAAUGCUGUGUAUCUCUCAUUCUUUUUAAUAUUUUUAACUCUGAGAAAGAUGUAUGAUAUAAUAAAACCAUUCAGUUUUUAAUCUCCAAAUCUGAGGUCUCAAAUAAAAUACUGUUAUCAAAUAAAA